This 468-nucleotide ribosomal RNA is filed under the name uncultured bacterium. Its description in RNAcentral is "partial 16S ribosomal RNA". It matches the Rfam family "Bacterial small subunit ribosomal RNA", at positions 28 to 507 of the family's 1533-position model. The record is from RNAcentral.
GACGAACGCUGGCGGCGUGCUUAACACAUGCAAGUCGAACGGAAAGGCCCUGCUUUUGUGGGGUGCUCGAGUGGCGAACGGGUGAGUAACACGUGAGUAACCUGCCCUUGACUUUGGGAUAACUUCAGGAAACUGGGGCUAAUACCGGAUAGGAGCUCCUGCUGCAUGGUGGGGGUUGGAAAGUUUCGGCGGUUGGGGAUGGACUCGCGGCUUAUCAGCUUGUUGGUGGGGUAGUGGCUUACCAAGGCUUUGACGGGUAGCCGGCCUGAGAGGGUGACCGGCCAACAUGGGAACUAGAUACGGGCCAGAAUUCUAAGGGGGGGAAGAGGGGGGAAUAAUGGCACAUGGGCGGAAGGCCGAUGGCGGAAAGCCGCGUGGGGGAAGAAGGGCCUUCGGUUGUAAAACGGCUUUCGCCGUGAAGAAGGGUGAGGGAAGGGUAUGGGUAAAGGAAGCACCGCCAAACAAGUG